ACAGAUGGGCCUCAUUGAGGGUUCAGGAGUCUGUCUAAAGUCAGACAAGCAAAGAAUUGGUGUCAGUAGGCUAAGAAACAGAUGGGUCAGGAGAUGCAGGAAGAAUUUGGAGAAGGCAUAACCGAGGAUGCUCGUGUUCUGCUAACGUUGGCAGCGGCUGCACUCAGUACAGAGCAUCUUAAGGAGGUGACCCAUCUACCCCGUCCUAUCCUGGCGACCCAUCUACACUGUCCUGUCCUGGUGACCCAUCUACACUGUCAUGUACUGGUGACCCAUCUACGCUGUCCUGUACUGGUGACCUGUCUACACCGUCCUGUACUGGUGACCUGCCUACACCAUCCUGUACUGCUGACCCGUCUACACCGUCCUGUACUGGUGACCCAUCUACACCGUCCUGUACUGGUGAUUUGUCUACACUGUCCUGCACAGGUGACCCAUCUACACUGUCCUGCACUGGUGACCCAUCUACACUGUCCUGUACUGGUGACCCGUCUACACUGUCCUGCACUGGUGACCCAUCUACACUGUCCUGUACUGGUGACCCAUCUACACUGUCCUGCACUGGUGACCCAUCUACACUGUCCUGCACAGGUGACCCGUCUACACUGUAUUGUGGCAGGCUCCAUCAUUAUGCUUAACUACAGUUUAUUUAUACCUUCUGGUUCUAGACAACUUCUCAUUUUCAUAUAACAAUGAAAAAUUCAUUAGAUCUAGAGCCUCCACACUCAAUAACAUUACCAACAUUGUUCAAGAGUCCAAAGUCUCUUUUGAGACUUAAGAUAAGCUCUUCUAUCAAUCAAAAGAUAACUUACAUACUUUUGGGGCUAGAAGGCUACAGAGUAAGGAUUCCCAUUUAACACCUCCAUCCUAAAAGGGAGGCAUGGGGGAAUAAAAGGAGAAUAGAGACAAAGCAAGAUCCAAACCCAGAAGGGCAGGUGGCUCAAGAUGGAAUCCAAUAGCUUUGGGUAGCCUUGCCCUGAAGUAAACAUGGCCCUGCUCCACACUAUGCCUGCAUCUGUCCUCAGUGGAUGUUGCACGGUCUGCCAUCUUCGAUGUUUUGAAGUCUCCACUGCGUGCUGGUGUUUGGCUUCCCAGCUCCACGAGGUCACCUUUCAGGGCUUCCUUGCAUGAGAUAAGACAUGCAGUUUUCUAGAACCUUGGUGUCAGCCUUCACAACGGUAUCACUCUUGCUUGGUUCACAUCUACCAAGCUAGUGCCAUGUAGAUGGUACUCUUACAUUCUGUCACCAUCAGUAUGAGGUGUGGCCUGGCCUCCUUGCACUGUAGACACAGUGGCCUCUGUGAGCUUCCGAGGAGGCUCAGUCUGAGAAAUGCUUGCCUAGGCAGCUGCUUACCAUCAUGAGACCCUUUCAGUGGCAUUCUCAGCUUAAGUUCUCUCCUUUAAAAGGAAUUUAUGUCUUCAAAAGCUUUCAUGGGUAUGGUCUUGCCCCCCAGGGUACCUUUCUUAUGGCCCAGCUUGGAUGUAAUCUCUUUACCAGUUAUAGCUGCUCUCAUAGCUUGUCUGCAUCUUAAAGCUCACUGUUCCUGUUUUAUUUCUGUUGCUAUGAGACAAAAAUAACUUGGAGAAGAAGAGGAGAUGCAGUCCAUUAUGGCUGGGACAAUGUGGUAGCGGAUGGGUGAGAAUGUCAGCCAUAUUGGAUCUGCACUCAGGAAAUAAGAAGUGAUGAAUGUUGGGACUCUGCCCACCAUGGUCUCUUUCUCCAGUCUGGGAACCCACCCCAUUGGAUGGUGCACCCACACUUAGAGUGGGACUUCACUACCCAGUUAAAACUUUCUGGAAAUGCCCCCCAGAGAUGACAUAUCUAGAGCUUUAUUUCUUAGAUGGUUCUAAUUACAGUCAAAUUGACAAUAAAGGUUAUCUACCACAACAUGGUAAUAAGUUAUAAAGUUACUGGCAUACAUUACUCUUUCUCAGUGGCUGAUGAUAAUCAUGUAGCAGCUUGGAAGACCACAGUCAUUUGUUUCUGGGGAAAAACACCAACAGAAUUCAGUGCAGACUUUGUACCAAGUUCAACUUUUAGGUUUGUUUAGUUUGCUCUGCAAAGUAUCUUAACACCUGGUUCACAUCCAGACAUCAGUGGGAGGAACAGCUCUUGGUCCUGUGGGAGUUCCAUGUCCCAGUGUAGGGAAAUGCCAGGGUGGGAAGGUGGGAGUGGGUGGGUAGGUGGUGGAGCCCUCUCAUAGAGGCAGGGGGAGGGGGUGGGAUAGGAGGUUUCUGGAGGGGAUACCUGGAAAGGGGAUAACAUUUGAAAUGUAAAUAAAGAAAAUAUCCAAU
RNAcentral lists this long non-coding RNA (2295 nucleotides) under Mus musculus (house mouse). Its description in RNAcentral is "RIKEN cDNA D130052B06 gene". Lineage: Eukaryota; Metazoa; Chordata; Mammalia; Rodentia; Muridae. The record is from RNAcentral.